CCAAAAGAAAAAAUUAAAAGUAAAAUAAAAUUCACUGACAUGCUUUAAAAAGUAUUUAAAUGACACAAUUGAUCCCUGAUAAAUCCCACAUUCCUUUUCUCUUCCUAUUUAUACUCUCUCACCUCUUACUCUCUAGUAAGAAAAUGGUUGAAGGCCCAGCGAAAGAGACAUCACAGCUUGAAAUAAAAAGUAGAGAAACUGAGGACAACUUAAUAACAUGCUUUGUCACAGAAACCUUUAAUGAAAUGGAAAAGAAAAAUCUUGAGAAAGGAAAGUUACUCAGCAAGUGCCUACAGAGUGUGGUAAUUGUGAAAUUGGAGUGUUAGAAACCAAUAGUGCAGGCUUUAUUUAAGGUUGUUGAUACUCACUUGUUUGGUGAUAAAAUCGAAGUCCAGAGUUCUCCCAGGAGCUUGAUUUCAUCUCUGCCUUCCUCCUCAACUACACAGAGCUCUAACUCAACCCCCGUGCUGUUAUUGUACCAUGAGGAACCACCUUGGCCUUGUUAAUAGGCUAUGCCAAAAGCUGGAGCAGCCCCAGCAGAGGAAAUCUGAUUCCAAUUUUGGGAUGAAAGUACAAUCCCCCCUGCCAGGUUUAAAUUGAGAGCAUAUUAUUCAUUUUUAGUUAAUUUCUCAGCCUGCAGAAUAAUUCAGCACAUGUGCGCUGUGUAUGUUCCCUCAGCUGCCUCCUUAGAGACCCUGACCUUGAGGGGAUAGUUGUAAUUGGGGGGAAAAGUCAAUAAAUGACAAUCAUAGUUAAAUGCCCUAUUUGUGUAAGAAAAUGCAUGUAAUAAAAGCAAAAGAAGAACAAACACAAGAGAAGUGGAUUAAUACGUUUUUCUUGUCUUGGAUUUAAUUUUUUGCUUAAUGUCAAGGUCUAAAGCACCACAGGGGCGAAGAAGUGAAAUGCAAAGGUUCUCAAGACACUUGUGCUGGGAAGAAACAUGAUUACAGUAAGUCAGCGUGGGAGAAGCCAUCCCGUUCAUGGGAAAAUCAUACCUUCCUUCAGAUUUUAACUAACUCCGUUUCUUCUGGGGGGUGGGCUCCGCAUUCCUCACUCAGCAACCAGAAUUGCUGAAAGGCAACUUGCUGAUGCUUCUCGAACUGAGAAUGUGAGGAAGUCAUGAAAUUGACCAGAGUACUCCUUGCCAGCCGGACACAAGGCUUUCCAAGUAGAUUAAGAAAUAUUCCCCCUAACCCUAGUACACUGUUGGUGGGAUUGUAAAUUGGUGCGACCACUGUGGAAAGCAGUAUGGAGAUGCCUCAGAAAA
Non-coding RNA from Sus scrofa (pig), 1267 nucleotides. Lineage: Eukaryota; Metazoa; Chordata; Mammalia; Artiodactyla; Suidae. The record is from RefSeq and is a predicted model, not a curated record.